This 1985-nucleotide unclassified non-coding RNA is filed under the name uncultured fungus. Its description in RNAcentral is "sequence contains 18S rRNA gene, ITS1, 5.8S rRNA gene, ITS2, 28S rRNA gene". The stretch from base 838 to 1985 matches the Rfam family "Eukaryotic large subunit ribosomal RNA", at positions 1 to 961 of the family's 3401-position model. The record is from RNAcentral. Lineage: Eukaryota; Fungi.
GGAGGGAUCAUUAACACGAUGAGAGACGCGUUAAACCGUCUCCCAUUUUCCACCCAACGUGAACUCGGUUGGAUGAUUGCUUUGUCAAUCGUUCAACCAUUCCUCCCUUUGUCUGUUGUGGAACUGUUGGAAUCCGAUGUGUAGUGGGCCAAUUGCUGGCCAUCUGUUCCAACUGGUAGAGCUUGACUCUACGGUUCCCAACGACUUAGGCAAUUCUUCAUUUCAGCCACUACAGAAAUAACCCUAUUCACCCUUCAUAUAUUUAAUGGACUGAUCCAAGAGUGAUACAUUCAGUUGUAACUCUCUCUAAGAUACGAUAAACUAAGCACAACUCUUAGCAACGGAUAUCUUGGUUCUCGCAACGAUGAAGAACGCAGCGAAAUGCGAUAUGUAAUGCGAAUUGCAGAAUUCAGUGAAUCAUCAAAUCUUUGAACGCAAAUGGCGCUCUAGGGAUAGACCCAAGAGCACGCCUCUCUCAGUAUCGGUGAAUCAACAACCUCUCGACUCUCUUGGAAACUUGAGUAGUUGAGGAAAAUGAGUGUCUUCGGACUGUGGUUCAGCUUCGGCUGAUCGACGACUCGAAGUCGCUUGAAGUUCACUUACCAGAGUCGUGUCGAUCUCUCCUAGUACCUUCCCUCCUCAAAACAGGGAAUAGCUUUACAAUGGCUUGCGAGUUCUAGUGACGUGGAUAAACUUGACGAUACCGUCAAUUGAAACGUCAAUCAACUGGAUAUCAAAGGCAACACUUGGAAAGCGAAAAGCUAGACAGACUUUAACACGGAAACGAAUGGCCAAACCUUUGAUCUUCGGAUCUCAGCACUGGCUUUUCUUCUCAUUCGAUCUGAGAUGAAGCGAGACUACCCCCUGAAUUUAAGCAUAUUAUUAAGGGGAGGAAAAGAAACUAACAAGGAUUUCCCCAGUAACGGCGAGUGAAGCGGAAAUAGCUCAAAUUGAAAAUCCAGGAUCUACACAGGUCUUUGGAAUUGUAUCCUAUUCGACGUGCUAUCAGCGUGUGACUCAAGUACAAGUCCUUUGGAACAAGGCAUCAAAGAGGGUGAGAAUCCCGUCUCUGACUUGAGCUUUUUCAUUUCACCGCGUACGAUGCAUGUUCUUCGAGUCGAGUUGUUUGGGAUUGCAGCUCUAAAUGGGUGGUAAGUUUCAUCUAAAGCUAAAUAUUGGCGAGAGACCGAUAGCGAACAAGUACCGUGAGGGAAAGAUGAAAAGAACUUUGAAAAGAGAGUGAAAAAGUACUUGAAAUUGCUAAGAGGGAAGCGCGAGAACAUCAGUGAGCUGUACCAUGCCCAUUUUGCCCCUUCCCAAUCUUCUCGACAUAUGUGCAGUUGGCAACUCUGCUAGUGUGUUGUAGGAGGCGGGGAGAGGGUCCUGUGGGUGUGGGAUGUCAGAAUGAGUUGGAGGUGCGGGAGACGCUCUUAGGAAAGAUAGGGUAGCAGCAAUGUUAUCUGUUAUAGUCCUGGGAGAAGACCGUGCCUUCGACUGAGGAACUUCAGGGUGCGCCACUAGGCAUGGAACUCGGCUCCUGGUUGGUCACGUGGGUUCGAUGACAAUGUCAUCUGGCUUGCGUUGGCUGGCUACUGGGUUGAUCUUCUAUUUGCAUCGUCUUGUUGAUUCUGACUAAAUGGUUUCUCUCGACCCGUCUUGAAACACGGACCAAGGAGUCUAACAUCUAUGCGAGUAUUUGGGUGGAAAACCCGCGAAUGCGAAAUGAAAGUAAGGCAGCUUGCUGCUGUGGUAGGAAACCAGCUGACCAACGUCAGCGGUGGCACUAUCGACCGAUCCUCACUUGUGAGCCGAUUUGAGUAAGAGCAUAUCUGUUGGGACCCGAAAGAUGGUGAUCUAUGCCUGAACAGGGUGAAGCCAGUUGAAAAGCUGGUGGAGGCUCGUAGCGAUACUGACGUGCAAAUCGUUCGUCUGAUUUGGGUAUAGGGGCGAAAGACUAAUCGAACUAUCUAGUAGCUGGUUCCCUC